Molecule: ribosomal RNA, 279 nt
Filed under: uncultured bacterium
Lineage: Bacteria
Description: partial 16S ribosomal RNA
Rfam family: Bacterial small subunit ribosomal RNA
Source: RNAcentral
UGCCAGCCGCCGCGGUAAGACAGAGGGUGCAAGCGUUAAUCGGAAUUACUGGGCGUAAAGGGCGCGUAGGUGGUUAGAUAAGUCAGAUGUGAAAUCCCCGGGCUUAACCUGGGAACUGCAUAUGAAACUGUUUGACUAGAGUACAAUAGAGGGUGGUGGAAUUUCCUGUGUAGCGGUGAAAUGCGUAGAUAUAGGAAGGAACACCAGUGGCGAAGGCGACCACCUGGAUUGAUACUGACACUGAGGCGCGAAAGCGUGGGUAGCGAACAGGAUUAGAUA